This 358-nucleotide ribosomal RNA is filed under the name Clostridium botulinum. Its description in RNAcentral is "partial 23S ribosomal RNA". It matches the Rfam family "Bacterial large subunit ribosomal RNA", at positions 1215 to 1573 of the family's 2925-position model. Lineage: Bacteria; Bacillati; Bacillota; Clostridia; Eubacteriales; Clostridiaceae. The record is from RNAcentral.
CUAUGUGUACGCGGUAGAGGAGCUUUCUGUAUGGGUUGAAGUCGUACCGUAAGGAGCGGUGGACUGUACAGAAGUGAGAAUGCUGGCAUAAGUAGCGAGAAAUAAGUGAGAAUCUUAUUGGCCGAAAACCUAAGGUUUCCUGAGGAAGGUUCGUCCGCUCAGGGUUAGUCGGGACCUAAGCCGAGGCCGAAAGGCGUAGGUGAUGGACAAUCGGUUGAUAUUCCGAUACCGCCUAUUUACGUUUGAGAAAUGGGGUGACGCAGUAGGAUAAGAUGUGCGCACUAUUGGAUGUGCGUCUAAGCACUUAGGCAUGCUUGAUAGGCAAAUCCGUCGAGCUAAGCUGAGGUGUGAUGGGGAG